Molecule: RNase P RNA, 462 nt
Filed under: Calothrix sp. SM1_7_51
Lineage: Bacteria; Bacillati; Cyanobacteriota; Cyanophyceae; Nostocales; Calotrichaceae
Description: RNase P RNA component class A
Rfam family: Bacterial RNase P class A
About the family: Ribonuclease P (RNase P) is a ubiquitous endoribonuclease, found in archaea, bacteria and eukarya as well as chloroplasts and mitochondria.
Source: RNAcentral
GAGAGUAGGCGAGGCGGUUGCAAAGAACGCAAUUGAGUGAAAGCUUGACCGUGUUUUUUGAGGAAAGUCCGGGCUUCCGAAAGACCAAACUUGCUGGCUAACGGCCAGUGCGUGCGAGCGUGAGGAUAGUGCCACAGAAAGAUACCGCCAUUCGAUUUUGGAUUUUAGAUUGCGGAUUUUAGAUUAAAUCCAAAAUCUAAAAUCUAAAAUCCAAAAUUGCUUGGUAAGGGUGCAAAGGUGCGGUAAGAGCGCACCAGCAACGUCGAGAGGCGUUGGCUCGGUAAACCCCGGUUGGAAGCAAGGCGAAGGGAGGACGGUUGGUCUUUUACCGCUUCCCGUUAAUAGAGCCGCUAGAGGCGUUCUGGUAACAGGCGUCCCAGAUAGAUAACUGCCGAUUUGUGGAGAUGUUCUUGUAGCAUCGCUACUGAUUAACAGAACCCGGCUUACUACCAACUCUCUCCU